GCUGUGCAUGAGUUGGGGCAGUGGGCGUGUGGGAAAUCUCUGUGCCUCUUGCUCCAUUUUGCUGUGGACGUAGACCUGCAGAUGAAAGUAACUAGAUCACGGGCUGACAAACCUUUCCUGUAAAGGGCCCUGUAGUAACUUAGGUCAGCCAUGGGGACUGUGAGAGGUGAGUGGACUUCAAAUCCCAUCAGGCCAUGGAGCCAUGACUUCAUAAGCUGCCAUGACAUCAAGACUGCAAGGGCUCACAGGAGUUGUACUUUAAGUCACCUGUGUACUUUUGGCAGCAACAGAAAAUGAGGGAUGAAGAGGUAUUUUGGUCUGGGGGGAGGAAGGGAUGAGCUGGUUCUCAGAGGGCUGCCCUGACUGGUGGGCGUGGGGAGUAGAAAGCCCCCGUGGACAGAGCCCACUGAUUCCUCUUGCCCUCCCCCCAGCUCCGGACCCCGUCACCAUCACCUCCUGCUCCAGCGCCUCAGGGUGGGGGCUACAGGGUCGUCCUGACCUGGUCCUGCCCCCCAAGGAAGCUAUGCGGCCUUUGAAUUGGAGGUGGGCCGACAGCGGGUCUCCCAGCCCCCCUCCUCCUAUGGGAGGGGCGUGUCGGUGUCAGGACUCAAGCCAGCUCAGUCCUACCCAGCCAUGGUCACCACCCUGGGGGACAGAGUGAGGGCCCAGUCUCCGAGAGCGCAGGUGAGCAGAGCCCCAUGGGCAUAGGGAGCUGGAAUGAACAUUAGUGCCCUGCUGUCAAGGCCAUGUCCUUAGACGUGGGGAAGGUGAGGUUCACGGGGUGCCUUGGGGACCCAUUGGCCAGAGGGCUCAUCCUGGAAAAAAAAGGCUGAUGAGACAAUAGGGUUUCAAAACUGGGUCCCGGAACUGGGGUGCUCCCCCUGCUGCUCAGUAAGUGCUAGUUCCCUCUCCCUCCCUCUCACUUCCUAGGGUGUGUCUGACAAAUGGGCACCAAUGUCCCUGACAGUGACAACAGUGGCCAGCAGGUGUUAAAUGAUGACUCUGCCCAAAUACGAUGGGGUAGCCGCCUGCAUCCAAGCUGACCCCCAGUGACCCUCCCAUGCAGAGAGGUCGACCAGCCUAAUGACUGGGAGUGAAUUCCUGAGGCUGUAGAAGACGUCUCCCUUCUCCCCCCUUCUGUCUCUCUUUCUCUCUCUGUCCUAAUUCACCCGCAGAGAAGCUGGUACCCAUGCUGUGAGGACACUGAAGAUCCCCCAUGGUGAGGCUCACGCAGUGAGGAGCUGAAUGAACCACCAGGGAGUGGCUCCUCCAGCCCCAGCCGAGCCCUCAGAUGACUGCAGCCCCAGCCGACACCUAGACCGCAGCUUCCGAGAAACCCUGAGCCAGGACCACCCAGCCGGGAGGCCCAGCAGGAUUCCCAGCACGAAGACCCCCAGAGACAGUACGCUCUCAUUGCUGUUUAAGCCGUGCAGUCUCGGAGUUCCCGUUAUGGUGCAGUGGAAAUGAAUCUGACUAGUAACCAUGAAGUUGUGGGUUUGAUCCCUGGCCUCGCUCAGUGCGUUAAGGAUCCAGCAUUGCCAUGAGCCGUGGUGUGGGUCUAAAUGCAGCUCAGAUCCUGCGUUGCUGUGGCGUAGGCUGGUGGCUACAGCUCCGAUGCGACCCCUAGCCUGGGAACCUCCACAUGCUGCCUGCCGGUGCAGCCCUAAAACAAAAAAAGCCGUGAAAUCUUGAGGUAACUUCUUCCACAGCAAAAGAUGUUUCAUGGAUUACCUCAGUAUAACUCACCACAACCUUUGGAAGUAGAUAAUUAUUUAAAAUUUAUUACUUUCAUAUUUAUUUAAUUUUUUCUUUUUUGGCCAUUCCAUGGCAUAUGACAUUCCUGGGCCAGGGAUCAUAUCCGGGCUGUGGUCGUGACCUAUGCUGCAGCUGUGGCAACACCAGAUUCUUUACCCACCAUGCUGGGCUGGGGAUCGAACCUGUGUCCCAGCGCUCGCAGAUGCUGUAGAUCCCGUGGCACCACAGCAGGAACGCCCCAAACUUUUAUUUUUAUUAAACCCUGCAUAAUACUCUGAAAAACUUUCUGGCAGGGAAUAGCGGAGUUAUUUUUUCAUCAUUCAGGAAGAUGCCUCCUCAGGCAGUGCUCCCCAGAUCUUUUGAGACAUAGUAACAGUUAACCCAGAGAUCUAGUGCCCUCUUUCCAUCAAACUCUGCUGAGAUGAUAAAGGGUAAUCCUUUUCCCUUUACUUACUUUUUUGGGAGGGGGGCACAGUGUGCAGCCACCUGAUGGGUGAUCUCCGUGCCGAGACCCAGGAUUGAACCCGGACCACAGUGGUGAAAGCGCUGAAGAGACCACCAGGGAAUCCGCAGGGCAAUUCUUUUUUGAAGAGGGGACCGUGUGAUAUCUAGGGUUCCAGAAUUGACCAUUUGCGACGUAUCUGAGGUACAUGCUAUUUCUUUGGCUGCACCCACAGCGUGUGGAAGUUCCCCGGCCAGGGGUCAAACCUGCACCACAGCAGUAACCAGAGCCACAGCAGGGACAAUGCCAGAACCUUCACCUGCUGAGCCACCAGGGAGCCCCAACAGGCAGUAUUUUUGAUCCCAUUUCAAAAGCAAGAGAACAGAGACACAGAGAGGCUAGCUGCGGAUCAAAACCACACAGACGAUGGGGUUCCUGUUGUGGUACAGCGUAGACAAGCCCAACUAGUGACCAUGGGGUUUCAGGUUCGAUCCCCGGCCCCCUCAGUGGGUUGAGGAUCUGGGGUUGCCGUGACUGUGGUGUAGGCCAGCAGCUGUAGCUCCAAUUCAGUCCCUACCCUGGGAACCUCCAUAUGACGUGGGUGCCACCCUAAAAAGCAAAAACAAAAACAACCCAAAAAAACCCACAGAGGUGAUGAGUGGCAGGAAUUCGAACACAGACCUAUGACUCCGUCCCAACUUUCUUCACUUUCAGACAACCUGUGGCGGAACCGAGGCAGCCUGUGUGUGCACCUGCUCUGCAGUAAGUCAACAAAGAACCCUGAAAAGCUCUUCCAGACACUGGACAUCUGGAAACGAGCCCCCAAAUAAAUGCGGUUAUGGUU
This 3041-nucleotide long non-coding RNA is filed under the name Sus scrofa (pig). Its description in RNAcentral is "lncRNA (ENSSSCG00000057679.1)". Lineage: Eukaryota; Metazoa; Chordata; Mammalia; Artiodactyla; Suidae. The record is from RNAcentral.